GUGGAGGCUAUAUACAGGGUGUUACGGUACAGAGUCAAUGUGGAGGCUAUAUACAGGGGGUUACGGUACAGAGUCAAUGUGGAGGCUAUAUACAGGGUGUUACGGUACAGAGUCAAUGUGGAGGCUAUAUACAGGGUGUUACGGUACAGAGUCAAUGUGGAGGCUAUAUACAGGGUGUUACGGUACAGAGUCAAUGUGGAGGCUAUAUACAGGGUGUUACGGUACAGAGUCAAUGUGGAGGUUAUAUACAGGGUGUUACGGUACAGAGUCAAUGUGGAGGCUAUAUACAGGGUGUUACGGUACAGAGUCAAUGUGGAGGCUAUAUACAGGGUGUUACGGUACAGAGUCAAUGUGGAGGCUAUAUACAGGGUGUUACGGUACAGAGUCAAUGUGGAGGCUAUAUACAGGGUAUUACGGUACAGAGUCAAUGUGGAGGCUAUAUACAGGGGGUACCGGUACAGAGUCAAUGUGGAGGCUAUAUACAGGGUGUUACGGUACAGAGUCAAUGUGGAGGCUAUAUACAGGGGGUACCAGUACAGAGUCAAUGUGGAGGCUGUAUACAGGGUGUUACGGUACAGAGUCAAUGUGGAGGCUAUAUACAGGGUGUUACGGUACAGAGUCAAUGUGGAGGCUAUAUACAGGUGGUACCAGUACAGAGUCAAUGUGGAGGCUAUAUACAGGGGGUACUGGUACAGAGUCAAUGUGGAGGCUAUAUACAGGGGGUACUUGUACAGAGUUAAUGUGGAGGCUAUAUACAGGGGGUACUUGUACAGAGUUAAUGUGGAGGCUAUAUACAGGGGGUACUUGUACAGAGUUAAUGUGGAGGCUAUAUACAGGGGGUACUGUCUUGGUUUGUUUGGACCAUGAUAGUUUGUUGGGGAACAG
Oncorhynchus keta (chum salmon) is the source of this 885-nucleotide long non-coding RNA. RefSeq lists it as uncharacterized. NCBI's taxonomy places the organism in Eukaryota, Metazoa, Chordata, Actinopteri, Salmoniformes, Salmonidae. The record is from RefSeq and is a predicted model, not a curated record. The transcript is spliced from 3 exons.